GGGAACAUGAGAGUUUUACACGAUUUUUCUUUUUUUUUGUAUCAGUUUCUGUGAGAACAUUAGUAUGACAGAAUUCGAAACUUGAGGGAAGAAGAAGGAAUGACAGAGAUACAGCAAAACCCAUUUCCCACAGAUGUUGAAGAGGGUUCCAAUUUAUUAAUGGUAAUUUUUACUGUACUACUACUUUCAUAAACGGUGCCUUUAAAAGACUUAAUAUUUCACACAUGUGGUUUCCUUGACUGAUGAGACCAGACAAGACCUGAAUGGAAACACAGCCUUGACUGAUUUGAUAUUUGUUCCCACUAAGUGUUCUUUUU
Oreochromis aureus is the source of this 317-nucleotide long non-coding RNA. The record is from Ensembl. NCBI's taxonomy places the organism in Eukaryota, Metazoa, Chordata, Actinopteri, Cichliformes, Cichlidae.